Molecule: ribosomal RNA, 468 nt
Filed under: uncultured bacterium
Lineage: Bacteria
Description: partial 16S ribosomal RNA
Rfam family: Bacterial small subunit ribosomal RNA
Source: RNAcentral
GACGAACGCUGGCGGCGUGCUUAACACAUGCAAGUCGAACGGAAAGGCCCUGCUUUUGUGGGGUGCUCGAGUGGCGAACGGGUGAGUAACACGUGAGUAACCUGCCCUUGACUUUGUGAUAACUUCAGGAGACUGGGGCUAAUACCGGCUAGGAGCUCCUGCUGCAUGGUGGGGGUUGGAAAGUUUCGGCGGUUGGGGAUGGACUCGCGGCUUAUGAGCUUGUUGGUGGGGUAGUGGCUUACCAAGGCUUUGACGGGUAGCCGGCCUGAGAGGGUGACCGGCCACAUUGGGACUGAGAGACGGCCCAGAGUCCAACGGGAGGCAGCAGUGGAGAAUAUGGCACAGUGGUGGCAAGCGUGAGGCAGCAACGCUGCGAGCGGGAUGACGGCCAUCGUGUGGUAAACCGCUUUAACCUGUGACGAAGCGUGAGUGACGGUAAUAGGUAAAGAAGCACCGGCUAACUACGUG